UCAAAUGCUGUGCAAAAUUCAGGCCAACAAUUUUCUCAUUCAUAUCCAAAAUUGAUUACAGUAUGACUUGAUAGUCGGUACAUCAAGGGCUUGCUUAGCUCAAAGCUUCACCCACACAUACACACAAGAGUUCACUAACCAAUGUUACUCUUCGGAAACUGCAACUUUAACUCACUAAGAUGCCAAUGCCUAAGAAUCCAAUUCAGCCAAGAUUAAUUUUACAGGAGAGUCAGCAUAGUCUCCAAACGCUAGGCAGCUCACAUGAUUACGUGUGUAUCGACAAGUUCAAUUCUACUCCUUUUUCCUGCUACAAGCCGGGUAGCAAACGGGCGUUUUGGAUUUUGCGGCGAGUGCGUUUUACGCUCUGUCUCGUGCCUGAAUUGCAGUACAUGAGUUUCCUUUUUAGGCUCAUCUGCUUUACUUUGAUUUAUUGAAAAUGCCCUUUAUUUACUUAAACCCUUAACUUAGGACCAGGUAUGGAUGCAGUGGUAACUAUGUCGUACACAUCUUAACAAGGUUUUUGCUGCCUAGCUAGAUGGAGACUCUGCUGACACUCUUGUAAAAUUACUAAUGACUGAAAGGAAUUCAAAGAACACUAGAAAUCUUGGUGGUUAAGUGCAGAACCUAGAGAUGCAAAGAUUAAAUGAAACUCAUGUGUGCAUGGUUUAGGAAGCAACUAAAAGACUAGGGAAGGCGUAAUACCACUGGACGCACCCAAGGAAUUGGUUGCUUCAUUGGUGCUGCAGCGGUGACACGGAUUUGCUUCGGAACCUUGCAGCUGAGCUCCCCCAUCCCUCUUCUUGCACGCAGAGUUGAAGCUGGAGCCGUCUUCUUCACACCGGGCGCAGCAGCAGUGACAGGCAAUGGUGUUGAGCCGACGAAAGAGCGAGCCUUGGAAGCGACGGGACGAGAGACCUUCUUCACGGGCGCAACAGCAGUGGCAGGCAGGCAGAGUGGAGCCUUGAAAGCCGGGCGCUUGCGGUGGUGGCAAGCGGACUCCUCGUCUUCAGCCAUCUGGUGUCCACGGGCACGGAUAGCGCACCGGGCAUCCACGGGGUCACCACCAGCAGCACCCGGCAAGGUGGUGGCAAGCCCAGGGCGCGCGGCGGAGGCGUUAUCAGAGGCACGGAAGGCGCUGGACACCGCAGGCGCCGGGCUGCGUUCUCCAUGGUUGACACCCUUGAGGUGGUGAACAAGUGGGCACCAGGCACGGACGGGAUUAGCACGGGCCGCCUUGACAGGAGCAUCGACGUCAGAUGCGGCCGUGGCGGCGUGGCGUUGGGGACGCCCUCCAUGGUCGACGCCGUAGCGGCGGAGUUCUUGGGCGGCUGCAGCGGCCUCCUUGGCGAGGCCGUCUUCCUGGAGACGGCGCUGGAAGUCGGCGUCCCAGCGGGCGAGGGACUCCCGGGACUCACCGGUGGCCUUGGCAAGGUUGUGCUUGGUCCAGUACUGGAGCACCCUCUCGAGGACGCGCGAGGGCACCCGCGUCUCCAGCGGGAGGGCUUGGGCGGCGGCCGGGCGAUAGUCCCACGCCGGAGCGACGAGCACCUUGCCGUCGGAGCUACGGAGCUGGAGCACCUUCGCCGCCAUCGAUACCGCGUCUUGGAUUGGAUCUGGGGAUCGGGGAGGGAGGCGAACGAAUCGAGUUGGAGCCGCUGCUCCCACCGCGGCCGCCCCCUUUUAUUUACCGGAGAGCUCCCAAUUCUUGCCGGACGCGGAUUAACAGCUGUCGCCGGCUGAAUUGGAACUGAAGUCGAACUCAGCUGCGGCAAUCUUACGCGAUGGCUCGUGGCUUCCGGGGAGCAAGCCCUUGGCCGUGUACCACCCGAGCGGGGCAGGCGACGUCCCCGCGCUGGCCCGGGCGACGUUCGGGUCGGCGCGCGUCCACGGCCAUUCCGCCAGCGGUCAGCUCGGCGGCGUCCUGGAGAUCUUCGGUGGCGUCUCCGGCCGGUUGAUGCACGACGAUCUCCUGCUUCACUGGGGCAUGGAGGAGCGGCUCAGCAGCCAGCCUUGGUUUCUUGGCGCUCUGCUGGUCGCCCCUCCGCAUCGCCGCCUGCGAGCCCUGCGAACCAGCAUCCUCCCCCUUCACCCCUGUCUCUCUCCGGUGUUCGGUGUUCGGUGUCUCUGAAGUUGCCUCUGGAGUUGCAACUGGUUCAGUGAGCGGCACACGGUAAAAGAAGCAACUGGUCUCCUGCUUCACAAUCUUUUUCUUUUUUAGGAUCACUGCUUCACAAUCUAAAACAAUACAUUUACACUACUGUGCUUAUUUUGGAUGGUUAGGGCAUACCAUCAUAAGGGUAAAUUUUUUGGUUUACUCUCUUACGGCGAACCUAGCCGAUCCCCUAAAAACAUUAAUGGAGUAUAAUUUUUUUCUUCAACUCUAUUCCUCCCAAGAUUUCCGUAAAUCUACUUCAUCGUGCGGCGGUCGAGUAAAACUUCCUCUUGCCCUCCCGCGCCGCACGGUCUCCCGCCCCCGCUACCGCCGUCAAUGACCUCCGAGCCGACCAGAAUGGAUAGCCAACCCCCCUUCCCCCGCUCACCCUGCCGGCCACCGGCACCGACUUUUCGCCGCCGGUGCCGAAAAAAAGCUUGGGGAUGACUGAGGGAGUCCUGGAUUCGGGGGUCCUCAAGUGUCCGACCCAGAAGUAUGGGCCGAGUUGGAUGGGUCGUACAGGAUCAAGCUGAAGAUUAUCCUCCGUGUCCAGAUGGGACUUCUCAAUACGUAGACGGCAAGAUUAGAGUCCGGAAGCUUCCUUCCCUGAUGAACCGACCUUGUACAAACCCUAGGCCCCUCUAGUGUGUAUAUAAACUAGAGGGGUUGGUCUGCAGAGCUUAUCUUCUUCACCGUCAUUGGGAUACUCAUAGGCUAGACAUCUAGGGUUUAGCCAUUACGAUCUCGAGGUAGAUCAACUCUUGUAAUCUUCAUACUCGUCGAAUAUAAUCAAGCAGGAGUAGGGUUUUACCUUCCUUAAGAGGGCCCGAACCUGGGUAAACACUGUGUCCCCUGGCUUCCUGUUACCAUUGAUCCUUAGACGCACAGCUUGGGCCCCAUACCCGAGAUCUGCCGGUUUUGACACCGACGUUGGUGCUUUCAUUGAGAGCUCUGUCGUGUUGUCUGCAAAAGGCGGUCUAUGGCUGGCCUAGUCGUCAACUACAAUAUCACUUCUGGAAGGUGCCUAUCUUCGGGGCAGACCCUCUAGUUCGGCGGUUUCACCAUAAGGGCCCGCGCGGCCGUCGAGUCCGCAACUCCCCCAUGGUCGCCAGACACCGUCCCCGCAUUGGCCCUAAGUACUCCGAAAAAUUGGAUCUGGCGGAUGUUUCGUCUUUAAAUGAACUGCUGGACCGCAUCACUGCCCUGGGGGUCUCAACGGACUAUGAUCAGAUCGGGCUCAAGCCCGACCAGAAGGAAAUUAAUCACCCGCCGAUCACCCACUUCGUAGCGGUCGUUGAGGAACCGGCCACAGACGCUUCCCUCCCCAUAUUGAAAACCAAGCAUGUUCGGGUCUCCAAAUCCCCUGAGCCGGAUACUCUCCCUUCGGACGGGACCUUACGCACUCCAGACUCUAGUUCAAGUUUAGGAUUGCUGGAGCCCUUGCGCUUAACCGAACCCGAACCGGCCGCCUCGAAAACAAUUCUAGCUUCGAACACAGAUGUGGGACAGGAUCCAAAAUUAAAUCCACCCACCCACCACAAUAUAUACUCUCCAAGCAACUCAGGUCCUCCAGAUAUAUAUGACUUGAUGUAUGUGCGGCAGCAGCCUCAGAAAACGGUCCACCACUUUUGGGCCAAAUUCCUGCUUGUCAAAAACAGGAUCAAAGACUACUCGGACGAUGGCAUAGUUUAGGUUUUCCACCGUAAUUGCACCAACGAGGGAAUAUUGAAUGCCCUCGACCGUCGCCACAUACAGAGUUUCACGGAAUUAUCACACGUAGCACAAAAGUACUAUGCGAUGGAAAGCACAUGGAGGGCCCAGAAUACUCAGCUAGAGCCCGCUGCCAUGAAGCAGUGUGCACCUGGGGCAAACGGAUACAUUCUAGCCGGUCACCCGACCACCAGUCUAUGAGCAGGAAAAAUAAACCCCUCACAGGACACAAGUCCAUUCUUGACGAACUGCUGGAGAAGCCCUGCCCGAUUCACGCCACUCGGCACAAAGUCCCAACCCAUAGCCUCCGAGCAUGUUGGGUACUCCGGCAAGUAGCAAAAAGUGGAGAGGCCAUCCUCACCACAACUCCAGAAAAUACUCUCCGGAGAGGGACAACUUUAAUGUCCUAACAGUCUUCAAUACCUUCUCUUUGAACAAUCAACGUAAACGGGCACUCCGCGACCUCGCCAAAGUCCACCAAGUUACCGCACUGAGCCCAUGGAACGACACGGCAAUAACCUUUACGGCCGACGACGAACCAAAGGCUCGGUCAGUCCGAGCACUCGCUGCCUUAGUACUAAACCCCAUCGUUGAUGGUUUUCGGCUUACUAAAGUGCUCAUGGACGGUGGCGGUGGACUUAACCUCAUUUACGAGGACACGCUCGACAAAAUGCAGAUGGAAAGAUCACGCAUCGAGCAAAGCAAUACCACCUUUUGAGGUAUUAUCCCAAGUCGAGAAGCACACUACUCAGGAAAAACUAAACUGGAUGUGGUGUUCGGCACGCCUGAGAACUAUAGAUCCGAAGAUUUGCUCUUUCAUGUGGUCCCCUUCAAUAGUGGGUAUGACACCAUCCUCGGCUGGGACGCUUUCUCAUGCUUUCAAGCUAUAGCCCGAAAAAGCCCUCCAUGCCGAAAUCAAAACUGCGUCCUUGGCCCUCGAGGCACUAUCCGAAGCCCUAGCGGCGGAGGAAUUAACCACCCUACGGUCCAUGAUGGAUAGGGACGAUGUGAUCCUCGAUAAGAGAUCUAAAUCCACCUCUUUCAAGCCAGCCGAGGAAAUAGUCAAAUUCCAAGUGCACCCGGUGAACCCUAACAAAACAACAUCUAUCGGAGCAUAGCUGGAUCCGGCAGUGGAUGCCGCCUAUGCACAUUCCUGCGAGAAAAUUGGGAUAUCUUUGCCUGGCACCCUUCAGACAUGCCUGGCAUCCCACGAAGACUGGCGAACACAAUCUUAAUGUAAUCAAGGGAUUCAAACCCGUGAAGCAGACACUACGACAAUUCUCCGAACCCAAGCGUCAAGCCAUGGGAGAAGAGCUAGCCAAGUUCUUAGAGGCUGGGUUUAUUAGGGAAAUUAAACAUCCGAAUUGGUUAGCCAACCUGGUUAUGGUAUUCCCUCCGUCCGAAAAUACUUGUCGCAGAAAUGGACAUAAAUGAAUGCAUCUAAAACUAAAAUACGUCUAGAUACAUCCAUUCCUCCGACAAGUAUUUCCGGACGGAGGGAGUACCAAAGAAAGACAAAUUCUAGCGCCUGUGUGUCGAUUUCAAGGACCUCAACAAGGCUUUCCCCAAAGACCCCUUCACAUUGCCUCGCAUUGACCAAAUUAUCGACGCAACUACAGGCCACGACUCUUUGUGUUUCCUCGACGCCUACUCCGGAUACCAUCACAUUAAGAUAAAGGAAUCGGACCAGGCUACAACCGCGUUCAUCACCCCGUAUGGUCCCUUCUACUUCAACACUAUGCCCUUCGGACUCAAAAGCGCUGGGGCUACCUACCAGCGCAUGAUUCAAACCUGCCUGAAAAAGCAAAAAAUAGGCAAAACGGUCGAAGCAUAUGUGGACGACAUGGUCAUCAAGACAAAUUAAAGCAUGUCAAGACACUCGUGGACAAUCUUCGCCAGUCUACAAGCCUUUACAAACGUUUACAUGCAUGAGUUUCUGGCAAAAGCUUAUCUUCUUCAUUGAUAUGCCGAUACAAGCACAAAUAUUACAGAACAUAAGCAUGGGCUUGGAAGAUUACAUUUUUCUAGAAAGUUACGAUUUGGCAAGUGCCUACAAAUUGAGAAAAAGAUAAGUGCCCCGUGAUCCCCGUUCUUGCCCCUUUCCUCUCCAGGCACGACAGGCAAAGAAAGGUGACGGGCAUGGGGAAUGCAGCGAUGGAGAACUUGACGAGGAAGCCCGUCCACCACCGACACCAGAGCCACUAGGACGCAACCCCCGACAAGACGUGUUGCUGGAGGAAGGGGAAGGUGGAGUAGAUGAUGGUGCUGCCACUGAUUGUCAGCUAGAGUCGGAGUCGUAGUCCUCCUGCCCGCUGCCAUCUUCGUCGCUGGCGUUGUCCUCCGCGCCGCUGUCGCUCAAGGAGGAGCUCUCAUCGUCAGUGGAACUCUCCACGCAGCACCCUAAGCGGAUUACUGAGCUCCCGAAGACCUUGACGGAGACCAGGUCGCUCUCCAUUAACUUCAAAUGGAGAACGUGCCCCUCCGACAAACUGUGGGCAUGUGCAAAAGUCUUCCACCCCUGGCGAAGGUACAUGACGUGAGGGCGGGGAAAGUCAAUGUCAGCCCACAUGUUGUCGUUCCUGCAGCUCCUCAUGUGAAGCCUCAAGGCAUGCGUUGGAUCCUGCUCCAUCACCCGGGCGAACGGGGUCGAAAGCUGGAGACGACUGCACACAUGCUUAUACAGCCUGAUGAAGAACUCGUAGGGCUGGUCUCGGACAUGGCCGCCCAUCGGAGGAGGGGCCGCCGAUGGAAGCGCAGCUGGAGCACCGCCCCAUCCACCUCCUCCCCGAGUACCGCGACGACCUCGGCCUCGUCCCCUUCCUCUUACCCUCGCAACGAGCUCCGCCGCCGGAGGCUUCGGAGGAGAAGGAAUGCGUUGUCGAGCAGAAGCCCUCGUCGCCGCCGUCGAAGCACCAACACACCCUUUCACCAUGGCGAAUGAGAGGAAGAUGGUAAGCAAAAAGUGGGGAAGGGGCGAGUGUGGAGAAGCACUGUCCCUCCCCCUUUUUAUAGAAGAAGCAAGGCCGGGGCCUGGCCACCUAGCCCAAGGGGCGGCCGCCCCGCACGGCCAAUGCGGCCUCUGGAAGCACGGGGAAUCGGAACCGACCCUCUCCCCAUAUCAACAAACGCCUGGUUUUUCGCCUCGGCGUUAAUGCCCACGUCCUCCGCAUCCACCGCCUGCCCUUCCCAAGGCAUGAAGGAUAUGCGGCGAGGCGGAAGGGGGCGUGAGGACAGGUGGGACGGCCGUUUUCUACCCCGUGAUCAUGGGGUGCGGCGCCAUGCAAGCUGCGACCCGAGUCCACUUAGUAAAUGAGUAGCGCCCGUGCAGAUUCCUUCUUUUUAAAUAAGGGAAGCACGGGUUGCCUUUUUACUAUCGACUACGAGAUGACGCAUGCGUGCCAUGCCCAUCCCACACACAUGACCCCCACAUCACAUGCUCGACAUGGGUCAUGGGGAAGCGCAACUGACAGAAAGAUCGUGGUGAUCCAUCUCUGCCACGCCCGCCCGCGCACUGCCUUGGGCCUAGCCCAACUACACCUUGCGCUUAUGUGUCGCCCAGGCCCGGGUGUCGGUGUCAAAACCGGCGGAUCUCGGGUAGGGGGUCCCGAUCUGUGCAUCUAAGGCUAAUGGUAACAGGAGGCAAGGGACACGAUGUUUUACCCAGGUUCGGGCCCUCUCGAUGGAGGUAAAACCCUACUUCCUGCUUGAUUGAUCUUGAUGAUAUGAGUAUUGCAAGAGUUGAUCUACCACGAGAUCGUAGAGGCUAAACCCUAGAAGCUAGCCUAUGAUGAUUAUGAUCGUCCCUCUACGGACCAAACCCUCCGGUUUAUAUAGACACCGGAGGGGGCUAGGGUUUACACAUAGUCGGUUGCAAAGAAGGAGAUCUAAUAUCCGGAUUGCCAAGCUUGUCCUCCAUGCAAAGGAGAGUCCCAUCCGGACACGAGACGAAGUCUUGAGUCUUGUAUCUUCAUGGUCCAUCCGUCCGGCCAAAGUAUACAAUCCGGCUGUCCGGAUACCCCCUAAUCCAGGACUCCCUCAGUAGCCCCUGAACCAGGCUUCAAUGACGAUGAGUCCAGUGCGUAGAUUGUCUUCGGCAUUGCAAGGCGGGUUCCAUCUCCGAAUACUCCAAGGUAAACCUCGAACACUUAAAUCGUGUCCGGCUUUGCAAGAUGAUUCUCACAUACCACCGUAGAGAGAACGAUAUUCCACAAAUAUAAUUUGCUGACAACUUUAGAUAACGUGACACGACACCAUGGUCGAGUCAUUAUUCGAACCAUUUUCCCACAACCAGCCACCGCACAUAUUGCCAGGCGGCUUCCUCGGCACGUUUUGUUGAAGCAGAGAUCAUGUCCCCUUAUCACGGGAUUCUCAUCAAUACGGGUACGGGUAACCCAAUCGCGCCAUCAAUCAUGGCGCUUGGGAAAUAAGCGAUUUUCAACGGGCGAGUGGGGAGGCGCACCGUUUUCGUCGCCUCUAUAAAGGGAUAAGGAUCCCCCAUUUUUACCCACGCCUUCUUCCUCCUUCGCUUAUCCAUUCUCGCACCCUCGAGCUCCAGUGCCCUAGUUCACACCUUCUCCGCACAGCCAAACAUGUCCGGAGCAGGAGGCAAGUGGGUGGCCUCCACCAUCAAGGAGGAGCAUAUUACGAAGCUUCGGGCGGCCGGAUACUUGGCCACAGAUAUAGCGCACCGGCUGCCGGAUGUAGGGCAGAUCAUUCCGACUCCGGGUCCCCAUGAGAGGGUCGUGUUCCUCGCCCACUUCAUCCGCGGACUGGGAUUUCCACUUCACACCUUUUGUCCGCGGGCUCAUGUUUUACUAUGGGCUGGACUUCCAUGAUCUAGCCCCAAAUUUUGUCCUCAACAUCUCGGCGUUUAUCGUCGUGUGCGAGGCCUUCCUCCGCAUCAAGCCCCACUUCGGCUUGUGGCUACGAAUCUUCUUUGUGAAGCCGAAGAUCGUGAGCGGCCAGCAAGCGGAGUGCGGAGGCGCCAUGGUGGGCAGGAUGCCCAAUGUUACCUGGCUUGACGGUUCCUUGGCGGAGACCAUGAAAGGGUGGCAAUCGGGGUGGUUCUACAUCACCGAGCCGCGCGACACCAACUAGGCAGCAGCCCCCGAAUUCCGAUCCGGAAUUCCCAUGCGGCUCACUUCCUAGGAAAAGAAGGGCCUGGCCUGGGGCGAACCUGUGGAGCUGACAGGACUUCAGAACUGCAUCAAAAAUAUGAUGGACAAGAAGAUCAAGCUUGUCAACGUGAUCCAGGUCAUGCUCGUCCGUCGAAUCCUUCCGUGCCAAAGACGGGCAUUCAAUCUGUGGGAGUUCGAUCCGGCCAAACACCAGACACUUCAAGAGCUUUACGGCACGACACACAAGGAUGCAUGGAAGGUGCUAUUCAAGGCCUCCGAAAUUCCUCCUCCCACAUCCGAGGACCACGGACUCCACGUCAUGCGGCUCCCCCAUCCGGUGAGUUUUCUUACCAUCACGAGAUGUAGCUUUCUUAGCAUACCCAUGGGGAGGAUUUUAAGUCAUCGUGUGUAUUUAAUCAGGAUUACGUGGUGACGGCGGAGCGGAUCGACUGUCCGGCUCCACUGCCAGAAGGCCCAGCAACCGCUCUCCUGAAGGAGAUGCUAGUCCCGGCGCCUUACAAGGUGCCGGAAAAGAAGGCCGAAAAGAAGGCCACGGGGACCAGGAAGGGUCUCCGGCGUAAGGUCACACCGGACGCCUUGUCCGAAGACAAUGAGGCACGCUCCUCCCACGAAGGGGAGGAGGAGAAGAAUAGGGCCGCCCCAUCCGGGGAGGCCGAAGGGUCUAAGAGGGCAGCCUUGGGGACCAGGAAGGGUCCCCGACGCAAGGCCGUCAUAGACUCGUCGUCCGAGGACGACGAGGCAGAUUCCUCCCACGAAGGCGGGGGGAAACAUGAAGAAAUUCCUCCUCCCCACAUUGGGGAGGAGAAGAAAAGGAAAUCCGCCCCGCAGGGGGAGGCUAGGACGCCGAAGAAGGGAAAGGUGUCCCUUUCGGAUCACUCCACCACGACCGCCUACAGCGAGGAGGAGUGGCUGCCCAGCGGCAAGACCCUGGUGAGAUCGUAAGUAUCUGCACUCUGUAAUACUGUAGUGCUACUUAGCUUCAUAGUUUAUUAUAAUGCCGAACACGUAUAUGCAGUCCGACCAGGGCCCAUCCCGAGGUAUCCUCUUCGGAUGGGUCUUUGAGCGAUUCGGCGAUGAAUUCGCUCCCGACGGCCACCUCCCCUCGGCCUACGGAUGACACGGAGGUAUGGUCCCAUAGGGUCCCAGAGCUGGGGGAGGCGACUCUGGAGACGCCCCAAGGCGAAAUUCCAGACGCCGGGCACAUGGGGCGCAAGAUCGCCGCAGAUUAUGCUGACGAGAGCCGCAGCAGGUUGGGCUCCCAGCCGGACACUGUACCGGAACCUCCAAAGGUUUCGGAUUCGGGUAGGCAGCCCCUCGCUAAGGAGGACGAGCCUGCCGUGCCGAUGACUUCCGUUGCGCCAGAGGCGUCGGAUAGUCUGCUGGAAGUGCUUCGCGGCGCUUCCAUGGAUGAAGAGAACCGUACUCUUAUGAGUGCGGUGAUUCAGAAGGUUCGGUCCGCCAAAAGCGGAUUGACCGAAGCCUGUACCAGCUUCCUGACAGGCUUUGAGGUAAGGAAAAAAGUGUGAGAAGUUAUCACCCCAUAGACAGUAGCCCUUGAUACUCUGUUUGGUGUUCGGAAAGAAAAGCCAGACGGAGGGUCAACUCUAGACCGCAGGAGUCUAACAGUAUGUGUCUAUGUGAAUAAGCAGGCAGUGCUGCUUGCUGCUGCUGCCCGCAUAGCAGAGGUCACCGGACUCAAACGGGGCCUGGAGCAAGCCGAAGAGGAGCUCGGCCUCACGAAGAGGCAGCUCGAAGAGAACAAAGGUGAGUGAUACCCCGUUCACAUAUCAUAUAGAGGAGAAAAAAUUGGUGACGCUAACAAAAAGACUCAUGAUUUUGUAAUAGGGGCCACGACCGAAGUGGCGGCCCUGAAGAAAGCGCUAUCCGAGGCCGAAGAUAAGGCGGCCACGGAGCGCAUUGAGCGUGAAAAGCAAGAUGCUAGGGUGGGCGAGGUACAACAAGAGCUCCAGGAGCUCAGCAAGAAGUUCGAGUCCUUGGAGCGUGACUUCAAGACGAAAGAGUCUGAGCUUGCGAAGGCCCUUUUGAGCAUGAAAGACGCCAAGGCCGAAGCCCAAAAGGCCCAACAGGAAAUCCAGGCGGCCAAGAAAAUAGCGGCGGGUAAGACAUUCAUUAUGCAAAGCAAGCAUGUGGAGGAGACAUUUCUUUUACUUACCCGAAUUCGGAGCUCUCCAGGGGCAUUCGCAGAUCUGCCACGCAGCAUAUCGGAUGCCAUGGAGUUCUACCGUGCCGAAGAGGGGAGCUCAGCGGAGAAGCUGUUCUGGUCCCAGUAUGCUGGAGCCGAACACCCAAUGCCUAUGGGUGACCAAUUGGAGCAAUUGGUUGAACUCCACAGGGCGGCCGAAGUGGCCAUGAAAGAUUUCAUAGUCUGGAUGUGGCCUGGUGAGUCCUGCCUGCCAGCUACUUUGGCCUUAUAAAGCGGAUGGUAAAUGCUUGUUUGCGGCUUGAAGUUAUCAAGUGAUCUGUUUGCAUUGAGGGUGCCCGCCGAGCCUUUGCCCGUGCGAAGAUGCAUUAGGCCAAGCUGGAUGCAGAGAAGCUGGUGAAGGAUGGACCACCGGAGGGCAAGGCACAUUGCUAUCCCGAGAAAUAUUAUGAUGGCGUUAUGAAAGGCGCUCGCCUCGUGGCCGAUGAAUGUACCAAGGACACAAUCUUUGAGUGAAUGUACUCCUGUCAUUUUUGUAAUAUGAAAACCAAUUUGUUUGCCCUAUAUAGCGCUUUGUUGAUUUAAAAUAUUACCUUAUGUGUGACUGUUUAUAAAAUUCUAAAAGUAGGCCAGUCGUCGGCUUCCGCCCCCACGUAACUAGUACUAGGGUGUUCGUGGAAAACCCAAACACUCUUUAUCCAAAUUUUUGGUCCCUGAAGGAGGUGUUUGGCGCAGCGAACAAGGCAAUCGGACUAUGCAGCUUUAUAACUCUCACUUAGCCAUAGAAGUUUACAAUUUUAAAUUUUGGCGAAGCCCCUGGAAUUCGGAAAGCUGAAUUGGGGCGCUAUAUACGCCUAAAUCAGAUGAGGCCGAUUCCUCAACUAAAGCGGAAAAAAUCUUUAAGGAUUUUAAGACCUCUCGAACAGCGACCAGCUCUCGCUGCAUCAUGAUAGUCAGUUUUCGGCUUUCUCUACUGAGGUGCUCGUCCGGAAGAACUGGGACACAAUCGCAGUAGUUCUCCCUGCGCUACCUUAGCCGAUAUAACGGAACGUAAGGUACCAAAACAAGGGAGCCGGGCAAACCCAACUAUUGACCCAAGACAUGAUUCGGAGCUGAUGCAUAUAAUGCUAUAAGUUCGGGGUGCCGCACUAUCAAAAGUGUUCGGACUUAUCUUGCCGUAUUAUGGGGCGCCAUAAGAGGCCCCUGGCAAACUGAAUGUACCAAAGUGUACGGAUUCAAUAUUAAAUAAACAUUUAUAGGAAAAAUGUGAAGAUAGGAAUAAUAAGCUGGCGCUAUAUAUUGUUUCCCAUUGUGAGAUAAUACGUCCGAGCAUCUGUGUACAAUUGAUGCGUUAAGCAGAAUCAAAAUAGGACUAUUUGACAUGUCCUAUCCAAGGGCGGGCCACAUGCGGGUAUGCAAAAUAGGUAUAAUGAUCAUUGACAGAUGCCACCUGGGUAUUACUGUUGUGCACAAAGCCGUUUGCCUCCUUGGUUUUCCCUCCUGUGAUAAGUUCGAUGAUCCGGCUCUUUAAAGGGACUGCCCGAAAGUAGGGUCCUGAAAGAGAAAAGGGGGGGGGGUUAUUAAAGUAUGUUGCGGCUGAACCGCACUAUUGACCGCAUCACCAUUGCGCCUCCGCCUAUGCCCAUGGUAUUUUGAGUGCAUAAUUGUGUACGCACAACACAAAUGCUGCUUGAAUGGGGCUAGGGCGGAGGCCGGACUGCUAGUCGUGCUCUUGGCGAGCCUGGCGAUCCUGUUGUAGGGUGCUCCGGACUCGCUUGACGGUGUUCGGGGUUGUUGUCGCUGGAUUGGUGGUUUGCCAGAGAAGGUUGCUUUGUACUUCUGCCGCGAGGGCUGCAGUAUGCUCCUCUGUACAGAGAGAGCGGUCUGUGUUUCCAUUGACUGUUAUAACCCCGCGAGGUCCUGGUAUCUUGAGCUUGAGGUAUGCAUACUGUGGUACCGCAUUGAAUCGAGCGAAUGCGGUUCGUCCGAGCAGUGCAUGAUAGCCACUACGAAAAGGGACGAUAUCAAAGAUUAAAUCCUCGCUUCGGAAGUUAUCCAGGGAUCCGAAGACCACUUCCAGUGUUAUGGAGCCUGUACAACGGGCCUCUACUCCUGGAAUUACACCUUUGAAGGUGGUUUUUGUGGGCUUGAUCCUUGAGGGAUCGAUGCCCAUUUUGCGCACUGUGUCCUGAUAAAGCAGGUUCAGGCUAAUGCCACCGUCCAUACGGACCCGCGUAAGGUGGAAUCCGUCGAUGAUUGGGUCGAGGACCAAUGCGUCUGAACCGCCGUGACGGAUGCUGGUAGGGUGAUCGCUACGACCAAAAGUGAUCGGACAGGCUGACCAUGGGUUGAACUUUGGGGCGACUGGCUCCAUCGCAUAGACGUCCCUUAGUGCUGAAGGAAAUAUGCCCUAGAGGCAAUAAUAAAGUUAUUAUUUAUUUCCUCAUAUCAUGAUAAGUGUUUAUUAUUCAUGCUAUAAUUGUAUUAACCGGAAACAUGAUACAUGUGCGAAUGCAUAGACAAACUUAAUAUCACUAGUAUGCCUCUACUUGACUAGCUCAUUAAUCAAAGAUGGUUAUGUUUCCUAACCAUAGACAUGUGUUGUCAUUUUAUUAACGGGAUCACAUCAUUAGGAGAAUGAUGUGAUUGACUUGACCCAUUCCGUUAGCUUAGCACUUGAUCGUUUAGUAUGUUGCUAUUGCUUUCUUCAUGACUUAUACAAAGUUCCUAUAACUAUGAGAUUAUGCAACUCCCGUUUAUCGGAGGAACACUUUGUGUGCUACCAAACGUCACAACGUAACUGGGUGAUUAUAAAGGAGCUCUACAGGUGUCUCCAAAGGUACAUGUUGUGUUGGCGUAUUUCGAGAUUAGCUUUUGUCACUCUGAUUGUCAGAGAGGUAUCUCUGGGCCCUCUCGGUAAUGCACAUCACUAUAAGCCUUGCAAACAAUGUAGCUAAUGAGUUAGUUACAGAAUGAUGCAUUACGUAACGAGUAAAGAGACUUGACGGUAACGAGAUUGAACUAGGUAUUGGAUACCGACGAUCGAAUCUCGGGCAAGUAACAUACCGAUGACAAAGGGAGCAACGUAUGUUGUUAUGGGGUUGACCGAUAAAGAUCUUCGUAGAUAUGUAGGAGCCAAUAUGAGCAUCCAGGUUCCGCUAUUGGUUAUUGAUCGGAAAUAGUUCUAGGUCAUGUGUACAUAGUUCUCGAACCCGUAGGGUCCGCACGCUUAAGGUUUCGAUGACAGUUAUAUUAUGAGUUUAUGAGUUUUGAUGUACCGAAGUUUGUUCAGAGUCCCGAAUGAGAUUACAGACAUGACGAGGAGUCUCGAAAUGGUCGAGACAUGAAGAUUGAUAUAUUGGAAGCCUAUAUUUGGAUAUCAGAAGUGUUCCGGGUGAAAUCGGGAUUUUACCGGAGUACCGGGAGGUUACCGGAACCCCCCGGGAGCUUAAUGGGCCUAUAUGGGCCUUAGUGGAAAUAGAGGGCAGCAAGGGGUGUGGGGCGCGCCCCCCAAGGCCCAAACCGAAUUAGUUUAGGGCAAGUGGGGCCGGCCCCCCUCUUUCCUUCUCCCCCUCUCCCUUUCCUUCCCCUCUCCUAGUCCAACAAGGAAGAGGGGAGUCCUACUCCCGGUGGGAGUAGGACUCCCCAUGGCGCGCCCCCUCCUAGGCCGGCCGCCCCUCCCCCCUUGGCUCAUUUAUAUACGGGGGCAGGGGGCACCUCUAGAUACAACAAUUGAUCUCUUGAUCUCUUAGCUGUGUGCGGUGCCCCCUCCACCAUAGUCCUCGAUAAUAUUGUAGCGGUGCUUAGGCGAAGCCCUGCGACGGUAGAACAUCAAGAUUGUCACCAUGCCGUUGUGCUGACGGAACUCUUCCCCGACAUUCUGCUGGAUCGGAGUCCGGGGAUCGUCAUCGAGCUGAACGUGUGCUAGAACUCAGAGGUGCCGUAGUUUCGAUGCUUGAUCGAUCGGGCCGUGAAGACGUACGACUACAUCAACCGCGUUGUUCUAACGCUUCCACUUUCGGUCUACGAGGGUACAUGGACAACAUUCUCCCCUCUCGUUGCUAUGCAUCACCAUGAUCUUGCGUGUGCGUAGGAAUUUUUUUGAAAUUACUACGUUCCCCAAUAGUGGCAUCCGAGCCUGGUUUUAUGCGUAGAUGUCAUAUGCACGAGUAGAACACAAGUGAGUUGUGGGCGAUAUAAGUCAUACUGCUUACCAGCAUGUCAUACUUUGGUUUAGCGGCAUUGUGAGAUGAAGCGGCCCAGACCGACAUUACGCGUAUGCUUACACGACACUGGUUUCACCGCUACGAGCACUCGUUGCUUAAAGGCGACCGGCGGGUGUCUGUCUCUCUCACUUCAGUUGAACCGAGUGUGGCUACACCCGGUCCUUGCGAAGGUUAAAACAACACCAACUUGACAAACUAUCGUUGUGGUUUUGAUGCGUAGGUAAGAACGGUUCUUGCUAAGCCCGUAGCAGCCACGUAAAAAUUUGCAACAACAAAGUAGAGGACGUCUAACUUGUUUUUGCAUGGCAUGUUGUGAUGUGAUAUGGUCAAGACGUGAUGCUAUAUUUUAUUGUAUGAGAUGAUCAUGUUUUGUAACCAAGUUAUCGGCAACUGGCAGGAGCCAUAUGGCUGUCGCUUUAUUGUAUGAAAUGCAAACGCCCUGUAAUUGCUUUACUUUAUCACUAAGCGGUAGUGAUAGUCAUAGAAGCAAUAGAUGGCGUAACGACAAUGAUGCUACGAUGGAGAUCAAGGUGUCGCGCCAGUGAUGAUGGUGAUCAUGACGGUGCUUCGGAGAUGGAGAUCACAAGCACAAGAUGAUGAUGGCCAUAUCAUAUCACUUAUAUUGAUUGCAUGUGAUGUUUAUCCUUUAUGCAUCUUAUCUUGCUUUGAUUGAUGGUAGCAUUUUAAGAUGAUCUCUCACUAAAUUAUCAAGAAGUGUUCUCCCUGAGUAUGCACCGUUGCGAAAGUUCUUCGUGCUGAGACACCACGUGAUGAUCGGGUGUGAUAGGCUCUACGUUAAAAUACAAUGGGUGCAAAACAGUUGCACACGCAGAAUACUCAGGUUAAACUUGACGAGCCUAGCAUAUACAGAUAUGGCCUCGGAACACGGAGACCGAAAGGUCGAACAUGAAUCAUAUAGUAGAUAUGAUCAACAUAGUGAUGUUCACCAUUGAAACUACUCCAUGUCACGUGAUGAUCAGACAUGGUUUAGUUGAUUUGGAUCACGUAAUCACUUAGAUGACUAGAGAGAUGUCUGUCUAAGUGGGAGUUCUUAAGUAAUAUGAUUAAUUGAACUUAAAAUUUAUCUUGAACUUAGUACCUGAUAGUAUUUUGCUUGUCUAUGUUUGUUGUAGAUAGAUGGCCCCUGCUGUUGUUCCAUUGAAUUUUAAUGCGUGCCUUGAGAAAGCUAAGUUGAAAGAUGAUGGUAGCAAUUACACGGACUGGGUCCGUAACCUGAGGAUUAUCCUCAUUGCUGCACAGAAGAAUUACGUCCUGGAAGCACCGCUGGGUGCCAGGCCUGCUGCAGAUGCAACUGACGACGUUAAGAACGUCUGGCAUAGCAAAGCUGAUGACUACUCGAUAGUUCAGUGUGCCAUGCUUUACGACUUGGAACCGGGUCUUCAACGAUUUUUUGAACGUCAUGGAACAUAUGAGAUGUUCCAGGAGUUGAAGUUAAUAUUUCAAGCAAAUGCCCGGAUUGAGAGAUAUGAAGUCUCCAAUAAGUUCUAUAGCUGUAAGAUGGAGGAGAAUAGUUCUGUCAGUGAACAUAUACUCAAAAUGUCUGGGUAUAGUAAUCACUUGAUUCAACUGGGAGUUAAUCUUCCUGAUGAUAGUGUCAUUGACAGAAUUCUUCAGUCACUGCCACCAAGCUACAAGAGCUUCGUGAUGAACUAUAAUAUGCAAGGGAUGGACAAGACUAUUCCCGAGCUCUUCGCAAUGCUAAAAGCUGCAGAGGUAGAAAUCAAGAAGGAGCAUCAAGUGUUGAUGGUCAAUAAGACCACCAGUUUUAAGAAAAAGGGCAAAGGGAAGAAGAAGGGGAACUUCAAGAAGAACAACAAACAAGUUGUUGCUCAAGAGAAGAAACCCAAGUAUGGACCUAAGCCUGAAACUGAGUGCUUCUACUGCAAGCAGACUGGACACUAGAAGCGGAACUGCCCCAAGUAUUUGGCGGAUAAGAAGGAUGGCAAAGUGAACAAAGGUAUAUGUGAUAUACAUGUUAUUGAUGUGUACCUUACUAAUGCUCGCAGUAGCACCUGGGUAUUUGAUACUGGUUCUGUUGCUAAUAUUUGCAACUCGAAACAGGGACUACGGAUUAAGCGAAGAUUGGCUAAGGACGAGGUGACGAUGCACGUGGGAAAUGGUUCCAAAGUCGAUGUGAUCGCGGUUGGCACGCUACCUCUACAUCUUCCAUCGGGAUUAGUUUUAGACCUGAAUAAUUGUUAUUUGGUGCCAGCGUUAAGCAUGAACAUUAUAUCGAUCUUGUUUGAUGCGAGACGGUUAUUCAUUUAAAUCAGAGAAUAAUGGUUGUUCUAUUUAUAUGAGUAAUAUCUUUUAUGGUCAUGCACCCUUGAAGAUUGGUCUAUUUUUAUUAUAUCUCGAUAGUACUGAUACACAUAUUCAUAAUGUUGAAGCCAAAAGAUGCAGAGUUGAUAAUGAUAGUGCAACUUAUUUGUGGCACUGCUGUUUGGGUCAUAUCGGUGUAAAGCGCAUGAAGAAACUCCAUACUGAUGGACUUCUGGAAUCACUUGAUUAUGAAUCACUUGGAACUUGCGAACCGUGCCUCAUGGGCAAGAUGACUAAAACGCUGUUCUCCGAAACUAUGGAGCGAGCAACUGAUUUGUUGGAAAUCAUACAUACUGAUGUAUGUGGUCCAAUGAAUAUUGAGGCUCGCGGCGGGUAUUGUUAUUUUGUAACCUUCACAGAUGAUUUGAGCAGAUAUGGGUAUAUCUACUUGAUGAAACACAAGUCUGAAACAUUUGAAAAGUUCAAAGAAUUUCAGAGUGAAGUGGAAAAUCAUCAUAACAGGAAAAUAAAAUUUCUACGAUCUGAUCGUGGAGGAGAAUAUUUGAGUUACGAGUUUGAUUUACAUUUGAAGCAAUGCGGAAUAGUUUCACAACUCACGCCACCAGGAACACCACAACGAAAUGGUGUGUCCGAACGUCGUAAUCGUACUUUACUAGAUAUGGUGCGAUCUAUGAUGUCUCUUACUGAUUUACCGCUAUUGUUUUGCGGUUAUGCUUUAGAGAUGGCCGCAUUCACGUUAAAUAGGGCACCAUCAAAAUCCGUUGAGACGACGCCUUAUGAACUGUGGUUUGGCAAGAAACCAAAGUUGUCGUUUCUUAAAGUUUGGGGAUGCGAUGCUUAUGUGAAGAAACUUCAACCAAAUAAGAUCGAACCCAAAUCGGAGGAAUGUGUCCUCAUAGGAUACCCAAAAGAGACUAUUGGGUACACCUUCUAUCACAGAUCUGAGGGCAAGAUUUUUGUUGCUAAAUUCGGAUCCUUUCUAGAGAAGGAGUUUCUCUCGAAAGAAGUGAGUGGGAGGAAAGUAGAACUUGAUGAGGUAACUGUACCUGCUCCCUUAUUGGAAAGUAGUUCAUCACAAGAACCGGUUCCUGUGACAACUACACCAAUCAAUGAGGAAGCUAAUGAUAUUGAUCAUGAAACUUUAGAUCAAGUUACUACCGAACCUCGUAGGUCUACCAGAGUAAGAUCCGCACCAGAGUGGUAUGGUAAUCCUAUUCUGGAAGUCAUGUUACUUGACCAUGGCGAACCUACGAACUAUGAGGAAGCGAUGAUGAGCCCAGAUUCCGCAAAAUGGCUUGAGGCCAUGAAAUCUGAGAUGGGAUCCAUGUAUGAGAACAAAGUAUGUACUUUGGUUGACUUGCCCGAUGAUCGGCAAGCCAUCGAGAAUAAAUGGAUCUUCAAGAAGAAGACUAAUGCUGAUGGUAAUGUAACUGUCUACAAAGAUCGACUUGUUGCGAAAGGUUUUUGAUAAGUUCAAGGGGUUGACUACGAUGAGACUUUCUCACUCGUAGCGAUGCUUAAGUCUGUCUGAAUCAUGUUAGCAAUUGCCGCAUUUUAUGAUUAUGAAAUUAGUCAAAUGGAUGUCAAAACUGCAUUCCUGAAUGGAUUUCUGGAAGAAGAGUUGUAUAUGAUGGAGCCGGAAGGUUUUGUCGAUCCAAAAGGUGCUAACAAAGUGUGCAAGCUCCAGCGAUCCAUUUAUGGACUGGUGCAAGCAUCUCGGAGUUGGAAUAAGCACUUUGAUAGUGUGAUCAAAGUAUAUGGUUUAAUACAGACUUUUGGAGAAGCCUACAUUUACAAGAAAGUGAGUGGGAGCUCUGUAGAAUUUCUGAUAUUAUAUGUAGAUGACAUAUUGUUAAUCGGAAAUGAUAUAGAAUUUCUGGAUAGCAUAAAGGGAUACUUGAAUAAAAGUUUUUCGAUGAAAGACCUCGGUGAAGCUGCUUACAUAUUGGGAUCAAGAUCUAUAGAGAUAGAUCAAGACGCUUAAUUGGACUUUCACAAAGCACAUACCUUGAUAAAGUUUUGAAAAAGUUCAAAAUGGAUUAGGCAAAGAAAGGGUUCUUGCAUGUAUUACAAGGUGUGAAGUUGAGUCAGACCCAAUGCACGACCACAGUAGAAGAUAGAGAGAAAAUGAAAGAUGUUCCCUAUGCUUCAACCAUAGGCUCUAUCUUGUAUGCAAUGCUGUGUACCAGACCUGGUGUAUGCUUAGCAAUAAGUUUAGCAGGGAGGUACCAAAGUAAUCCAGGAGUGGAUCACUGGACAGCGGUCAAGAAUAUCCUGAAAUACCUGAAAAGGACUAAGGAUAUGUUUCUCGUUUAUGGAGGUGACAAAGAGCUAGUCGUAAAUGGUUACGUCGAUGCAAGCUUUGACACUGAUCCGGACGAUUCUAAAUCGCAAACCGGAUACGUGUUUAUAUUGAACGGUGGAGCUGUCAGUUGGUGCAGUUCUAAACAAAGCGUCGUGGCGGGAUCUACAUGCGAAGCGGAGUACAUAGCUGCUUCGGAAGCAGCAAAUGAAGGAGUCUGGAUGAAGGAGUUCAUUUCCGAUCUAGGUGUCAUACCUAGUGCAUCGGGACCAAUGAAGAUCUUCUGUGACAAUACUGGUGCAAUUGUCUUGGCAAAGGAAUCCAGAUUUCACAAGAGGACCAAGCACAUCAAGAGAUGCUUCAAUUCCAUCCGGGACCAAGUCCAGGUGGGAGACAUAGAGAUUUGCAAGAUACAUACGGAUCUGAAUGUUGCAGACCCGUUGACUAAGCCUCUUCCACGAGCAAAACAUGAUCAGCACCAAGACUCCAUGGGUGUUAGAAUCAUUACUGUGUAAUCUAGAUUAUUGACUCUAGUGCAAGUGGGAGACUGAAAGAAAUAUGCCCUAGAGGCAAUAAUAAAGUUAUUAUUUAUUUCCUCAUAUCAUGAUAAAUAUUUAUUAUUCAUGCUAUAAUUGUAUUAACCGGAAACAUGAUACAUGUGUGAAUACAUAGACAAACUUAAUGUCACUAGUAUGCCUUUACUUGACUAGCUCAUUAAUCAAAUAUGGUUAUGUUUCCUAACCAUAGACAUGUGUUGUCAUUUGAUUAACGGGAUCACAUCAUUAGGAGAAUGAUGUGAUUGACUUGACCCAUUCCGUUAGCUUAGCACUUGAUCGUUUAGUAUGUUGCUAUUACUUUCUUCAUGACUUAUACAAAGUUCCUAUAACUAUGAGAUUAUGCAACUCCCGUUUAUCGGAGGAACACUUUGUGUGCUACCAAACGUCACAACGUAACUGGGUGAUUAUAAAGGAGCUCUAUAGGUGUCUCUAAAGGUACAUGUUGAGUUGGCGUAUUUCGAGAUUAGGUUUUGUCACUCCGAUUGUCGGAGAGGUAUCUCUGGGCCGUCUCGGUAAUGCACAUCACUAUAAGCCUUGCAAGCAAUGUAGAUAAUGAGUUAGUUAUGGAAUGGUGCAUUACAUAACGAGUAAAGAGACUUGCCGGUAACGAGAUUGAACUAGGUAUUGGAUACCAACGAUCGAAUCUUGGGCAAGUAACAUACCGAUGACAAAGGGAACAAAGUAUGUUCUUAUGUGGUUUGACCGAUAAAGAUCUUCGUAGAAUAUGUAGGAGCCAAUAUGAGCAUCCAGGUUCCGCUAUUGGUUAUUGACCGGAAACAGUUCUAGGUCAUGUCUACAUAGUUCUCGAACCCGUAGGGUCCGCACGCUUAAGGUUUCGAUGACAGUCAUAUUAUGAGUUUAUGAGUUUUGAUGUACUAAAGUUUGUUCGGAGUCCCGAAUGAGAUUACGGACAUGACAAGGAGUCUCUAAAUGGUCGAGACAUGAAGAUUGAUAUAUUGGAAGCCUAUAUUUGGAUAUCCGAAGUGUUCCGAGUGAAAUCGGGAUUUUAUCGGAGUACCGGGAGGUUACCCGACCCCCCCCCCCCGGGAGCUUAAUGGGCCUAUAUGGGCCUUAGUGGAAAUAGAGGGCAGCAAGGGGGUGUGGGGCACCCCCUACCAAGGCCCAAACCGAAUUGGUUUAGGGCAAGGGGGGCCUCCCCCCUCUUUCCUUCUCCCCCUCUCCCUUUCCUUCCCCUCUCCUAGUCCAACAAGGAAGAGGGGAGUCCUACUCCCGAUGGGAGUAGGACUCCCCAUGGCGCGCCCCCUCCUAGGCUGGCCGCCCCCUCCCCCCUUGGCUCCUUUAUAUACGGGGGCAGGGGGCACCUCUAGAUACAACAAUUGAUCUCUUGAUCUCUUAGCCGUGUGCGGUGCCCCCCUCCACCAUAGUCCUCGAUAAUAUUGUAGCGGUGCUUAGGCGAAGCCCUGCGACGGUAGAACAUCAAGAUUGUCACCAUGCCGUUGUGCUGACGGAACUCUUCCCCGACAUUCUGCUGGAUCGGAGUCCGGGGAUCGUCAUCGAGCUGAACGUGUGCUAGAACUCGGAGGUGCCGUAGUUUCGAUGCUUGAUCGAUCGGGCCGUGAAGACGUACGACUACAUCAACCGCGUUGUUCUAACGCUUCCACUUUCGGUCUACGAGGGUACAUGGACAACAUUCUCCCCUCUCGUUGCUAUGCAUCACCAUGAUCUUGCGUGUGCGUAGGAAUUUUUUUGAAAUGACUACAUUCCCCAACAAGUGCUCGUUUUCAUUCCCGUUUGGGAAUGUGGGUGGCAUAGAUCAUAUUGACCGUUUUCACCUGGGGAGGAAAUUUCUUCUGUCCCCCCAUGUUCGGACGUCGGGGCUCCUCAUCAUCGUCGCUGUGCAGCCCCUUGUCCUUGUUUUCAACAUUUAUUUUGCCGGCUUGUUUGAACACCCGGCAAUCUCUGUUAGUGUGGUUUGCUAGCUUAUCAGGGGUGCCGUGAAUUUGACACGAGCGAUCAAGUAUGCGGUCUGGACUGGACGAUCCCUGAUUGUUUCUUUUGAAUGGCUUUUUCCGCUGACCGGAUUUUGAGCCACUGAAUCCGGCAUUGACUACCGUGUCUUCAGUGUUGUCGCCAUUGUUCCGGCGCUUAUGUCUGUUGUGCCCCGGCUUGCCGUUAUUGUCGCGGAUAUCUGAAGUGCCAGAGUUUAUUGGCGUGGUGCUACUGCGAGCCAACCAGCUGUCCUCGCCCGUGCAAAAGUGGGUCAUGAGUGUCGUGAGGGCCGCCGUGGACUUCGGCUUUUCCUGGCCGAGGUGUCGGGCGAGCCACUCGUCGCGGAUAUUAUGCUUAAAGGCCGCCAAGGCUUCGGCGUCCGGACAGUCGACAAUUUGGUUCUUUUUGGUUAGGAACCGAGUCCAAAAUUUUCUGGCUGACUCUCCUGGUUGUUGGGUAAUGUGACUCAAUUCAUCAACAUUCGGUGGUCGCAUGUACCUGCCCUGGAAGCUGUCGAGGAACGCGUCCUCCAGGUUUUCCCAACUGUCGAUGGAAUUUGUUGGUAGGCUAUUUAGCCAAUGUCGGGCCGGUCCUUUGAGCUUAAGGGGAAGAUACUUGAUGGCAUGUAGAUCGUCACCGCGGGCCAUGUGAAUGUGGAGAAGGAAAUCUUCGAUCCAUACUGCGGGGUCUGUUGUGCCAUCGUAUGAUUCGAUGUUUACGGGUUUAAACCCUUCUAGAAAUUCAUGAUCCAUCACUUCGUCAGUGAAGCAGAGGGGGUGUGCGGCGCCUCUAUGCCGGGCUAUGUGGCUACGCAGUUCGAAUAAGUCUGGUUGGCUAUGUUUGGCCUGGCCAGACUUGUUGAUAGUGUAGCCGGCAUGAUGAUUGUCGUGGAUUUGUCACGGUAGAUGUCCUUAGUGUCAGGACUUAGUCGCGAGGCCAACGCAUCUAUGUGGUAGCUUGAGAGGGGUUGAGCGGAAUCGAGAGACGCAACACAAGACAGGGAUUUAGACAGCUUCGGGCCCCGGGAAACAUCAUCCGGUAACAACCCUACAUGUUGUUUGAGGCUAGAUCUCAUUAUCAUCACGAGGGAGUCGCCGUAAACCGACUCUCAUCUUUGUGUCUAGCCCUAGAGAUCAUUGCUUCUUGCUUGUAGCUUCUAACUCGUCCCUCUUUGGGGAGCCCUGCCCCUCCUUAUAUAUGUUGAAGGGGCGGUUUACAUGACUAGUCCUAGUUGGAUUAGGAUUACUCUAUUACAAGUGGAGUCCUAGUCUUGCUUCCUUUGUAGGAGAAUAGUCCUUAUGCUUUCCUCAUAAACCGGCCCACCAUUAAACGUGAACCAGCCUUCUGGGCCUUGGGCCUCGUCAUCCAUCUAACCCGCCCACCGGGUUACUAAUGAACCGCCAAGACCGGGCGGGUAUCCCGUGAACCGCCAAGCUCCGGGCGGGUUACCAGUGAGUCGUCCAGUCCGGCCGGGUUAAACUUCCAGCCGGUUUACACCACGGGGUAUAUCCCUGACAUUAGCCCCCAGUUUAAUUUGAAUUUAUCCAUGUUAAACUGAUCCUGAUCAUCCUUAAGUCCUUGUCACUUCCUUCUUCUAGAAAAUCCGGUUUAAUAGGCCAGCUUCAUAAUCAACUUGCUGACAUUAGUUUCUCAUAGAAAAUAUAUUGUGAAGAAUAACUCCUUUGAUUCAGCUCCCAAUGCUUAACAAAAAUAAUGGUCCUUGAAAUCCUCAUCUGAUCUUCAGCCGGUUUAAGAAUGUAAAACUUGCCGGUUUAUAAAUAUUGAUAGUACCGGUUCAUACUUGUAAUUGACCUCCAGCUUGAAAAUAUACCUCUUAUAAGACUAUCACUUGUAGCCCUCAAGUCUUAAGAAGGUAGCAUAGCAAUAGCUUAAGACUUGCUUCAAUAUAAAUAUCACAAUCUUGAAGAAAUCCAGGUUGUUCAUCUCAAUCACUAGUCAGAAUUGAGUAUUCCCCAUAUGUAGCCCCCAAGUGCCGGGUUGUCAUGCUUGCAGUAACCUGGGACUUGUAAUUUCCUGAUGCUCAUAAAAACUUCAACCAGUGUAGCCCCGAAGGGCCGGGUCAUUAUGCAAUAAUGAGCAGGGACUUUGUAAAUAUAAUCAUGUAAUCUUUGAACAGCAAUGGUGUAGCCCCCAAGGGCCGGCUCAGUAAUAUAAUAUUGGGCUGGGACUUUGAUAUAUACUUAAAUGAAAAUAACAUCAUAUGAUGUAACCCCCAUCAUGGGGCUUGAAUUCACGUCCACAAGGUUAAGAGCCUUGUGCUUUACCAACUGAGCAGUGGACCCUUCAAUAUAAUGAAUAAAAGCUUUGUUCCUUGAAUUGUUUAACAGGAGGAAUUGGUAGCCCCCAAGGGCCGGCUCAUUAUAAUGUGAUGAGUCGGGUCUUUAAUAAGAUGAACAAAGAAUGACUUUGCAUUAGCCCCCAAGUGUCAUGGUGCAUGCUUGCAGCGACAUGAGACUUGCAUAUUUGAUGUAAUCUCAACUUAAAUAAUGUAGCCCCCAAGUGCCGGGUUGUAAGCCUGCAGCAACUCGGCACUAUUCCUUCAAUUGUAGAAUAAAAACCAUAUCCAUUGAUAAUAUGAUAGCCAUUGCACUAAAGCGACUUUGAAAACCUUAAUCAUAAUACUGGUUAUUGAUAACCAUAAUAAAAAUCCAGCCAUGUUGGCUAUUUGAAGAUUUGAAUAAUAUAAUCCAAUGAUUUAUGAGCGCAUGAUUCCAAUGGCGCAAUCCAAAUAUAUACUGGCGACUUAUAGUCGAAACCAGACCGGGCUGAUAGUCUCCGGAUUAUGAUUUGAUCAUGUACUGACAGCUUGUAAUUGAAAGCCAAGCCGGGUUAAUGGACACCGGUUUACUCCAUGAUAAGAUGGUAACAUAAAAUCAAAAAAAUCAAACCGGGCAAAUAAUCUCCGGAUUAAGAAUUGACCGUGUUCCGUAAAUUGACAGUCGAACCGGUCUGCGAAUUUUGUCGGUUUAAGAAUGCAACAAAGAAGAAAUAUUUAUUAAAGAAAAUUUCAAGCAAAGGCAAUAAUAAAACCAUUUGCAAAAAACAUGCUAUACUGAGCUAAUCAGAUGGUGUUACCGUGGUCGGACAGGACCAAGCCCCCAAUAGGAGUGACAAUGGUUCAAGUCAGCCAGGUCCCCAAAUGAAACCGUGGCAUAUAUGCCAAUCAAAAGGCGUGGCAAUGGUUCGGGUUCGACCAAGCCCCCAAGUGAUUUUGCGGCCUUAGGCCGAUCAAGAGGCGUGACUGGUUCAGACUUGACCAUGUCCCCAAGUGAUCUGGUGGCUUUCGCCUAUCAAAAGGUGUCGCGUUGGUUCGGACACGACCAAGGCCCCAAGUGAUACAAAAAGCAAAUUUCAAGGGGUAAACCGGAGGCCGCUUUAAGGCAGAACCUCCGUGUAACCACGCAUGAUGUAAAAAAGAACAGAGACCCCGCUUUAUGAAGCAGAAGCCCCCAUGUGAUCAAUAUGUUAGGCCAAUAAGGCAGGAUAUCCAUGUUUGAACCGCGCAUCAUGGCAGCAGGUCCUCUUCGGUAAUUUUUAACUUUUUUGCAAGAGAUAAAUUCUUCUUAAACCGGGAUCUUGAACCGGAUAUGGAGAGCUUCAAAGCUUUGUGGGAGACAUCUUUCCCUUGAACCGGAUUUUAAACCGGAAUCUUCAUUUUCAGCCGGAAAUUUUCUGACGGCCUUUAAACUCGAACUUGCGAGAAGUUAAUUCCUUUUUGAACCAGAAAUUUUUAAACCGGAUUUGAGAGCUACAGUGAGACUGGCUUCCCUUGAGCCGGAUUGUAAACCGGAUAUUUGAGAGCUUCAGUGAGACUGACUUCCCUUGAACCGGAUUUUAAACCGGAAUCCUUUCUGAUGACCCGAAACUUCUUCAUUGAGCCGGGAUUUUGUAAUUGUCAUAUACUUUCUAAGCCGGAAAUUUUUUGACGGCCUUCAAAUAACAGUAGCCUCCGGGACCGGGUUAUCUUUCCCUCCAUCGUCCUGGGGUUCUUAAAUUUGCUAAAACUGGCAAGAUUUGCUGAGUCAUGUCAUCGUAGCCCCCAAGUCUCAAGGUGACUCGAGGAGUUGGCUUGAAACUCUCCAUAUUUGACCGUGAUAUAAACCGGCAUAACUUGUAUAUCAUUGGUGUUAAUAGCACGAUGUGAAUCCACAGAAGGUUGAGGUGACUGCGGUGGGUUAUAAAUGAUCUCGUAUGAGCCGUGUCAGCAACUUGGCCAAUGGUUCUUUCCAACUGGUGAUUUGAAGUUAACCAAACUGUAAUGGCGGCGACUUGUGCGCCUGCCCAUUGAACCACCCAGUGCAGACAAUGGUUGAUAGUAUAUGAUAAUUUGCCUCCAUUUUGUUGAAAGAAAACCGGGCUACCCAAGCUGUGACUUGUUCAUACUCAAUAAACACCUCAUGCAGACAGGUGCGGCCCGGUGUGUUGAUGUAGAUCAGGCCGCGAGAGGCAGACGGAAAAGAUGACCUCAGCAUCAGAGGUGGCUCAAACAGAUGAACCAGCCGCGGUAUUGUAAACCGGCGCGGACGGGCGAGCUAACCACGUCGUUUUGAUGUAGUGAACAAUUGUCCUGCAUCAACAAUAUUGCAGACCAAGACAAAGAUAAACUGCUCUUUUGACAAAAAAUAAUAUGUACCAAUAGAAUAUAUUUUAGAUGGAUAUCACCUGAUGCGCCAGGCUAGUAGUUAUCCACCGCGGAGUUGAUGAUCACCAUGGUGAAGCAGAAAUCAAUCACGGGUGAGUCCGCCGCGGCAGACGGCCACAGCGUUGUAAACCGGCGCGGUCGUGAGAGACGGCCACGGCGUUAUAAACUGGUGCAGGAAUCCGUUGAGUAACGACAACCACUGGUACCGAAUGAUGUUGGCGCGCCUCCAUCUCCACGGUAUAAUGCCACAUUAUAAUGAAUAUCCUCCUGUCUAUAAAAUAUAGCAGGGCAAAAUAGUUUUGCUUGGAUGAAUUAAGAUAUACUUAAAAAUAAAUAGGGUAAAUAGCACCUGAUACUCAGCCCCAUGGUUGAUGAUGAUUUCUGGAUCCUAACGUAAGAAGCAGUGCUGAUAGUACUAUACACAUAGCGUUUGUAGUCUGCCUUUGAACUCAGCAGCAUUUUUUUUUGAAAAUUGCUAUGAUGAUCCGCUAGUAGCACUUUAUCUCUUCUGACUCGGAUGGACGUAGCAGGUCCUUUGCUGUACGUAACAAUUUUCGGUAGCUGGUAGCACGGUCGUCCCAUUUUUGCUUCAUCUGAUCUUUAAUUCGGUAUCUCUUCCAUAAUGAUCCUUUGUACAAAAAAUCUCCAAUGUUUGGCUGAUUACACCAUCCGUAACAAGCUCGAGCUCUUGAAAUCUUACAGGGUAAAACGACCGGGCCGCCGGGUUGUCAUUACUGGCAGCGCUGCUUUUCUUUUCUAGCGAGCCGGCGGUGGGUCGACGACCAAGGAGGCCGAGACCGCGGAGGCGUCCCGGCGGCGAGUCGCAGAGACAGCUGCGAUGAUGGAGGUAACUCGGUGGGCUGCAGACCAUGACGGCGGGUCGCCCUUGCCCGACAGCGUGAGGCCGUGGCGGGUUGACGACGAUGAGGCCGACGGGGCUCUGGCCUGGUCACUUCUCCGGCGAGGGCGGAGCACAGGGGUCCGGCGGGCGCCGGUCCAUGGCGAGGCGGCAGCACGACGGAGGAGGCUGGAAGUUCCGCAGCAGCGGCGACAGGGAGGCGCGGCCAUGGGAUCGAUCACGGGCGUUCUCCUGGCGCUGGAUGUAUGCGUAUGCGCGGCGGUUUGGAACGAGUCCACGCCGGAUCGGUGCUGCGGGCAGCUCAGAAGCUGCAUGUCAAAGCGGAGGGACGAGCUGGCGUGGACUCCACGUGAAUACUAAACCGGCCACUAGUACUUUAGUACUGAUUCUGAUUUGAUGUCUGGAUGUGGUGCGUGGUAACAGCAGCAAAGUAGUAGCCUCGGGAUUUGAAGCGAAUCCGCCCACGUCGACUGCUGUGGACAAAUUUCACGCGCACCGGCUCUCUGCAGUAAACGGCAAUUGAAUAAUGGAGUCGGUCUCGGUCUCGCCGGAUCGUACUUGCUAUUUUGAUGGAAAUCAACCUUACCGGUGGACCGACAAACCGCGUGCGGCAACACGCGCGGAACCCUAGUUUCCUUUGAUCUCUAAACUUCUUGAUCGUGAAGGCCGAUUCAGACAUUUUUAAUCUUGAUCAAUGAACUUGGAGUUGAUGUAGAUCUUGACCUGCUCUUCUUCACUAGAAAAUUACGAACUUCUCGAUCCCUGAGAAAAAAUCCCUCCAAGAACUCAACACCACCGUGCGCGGGCCCCACGGUGGGCGCCAACUGUCGUGGAUUUGUCACGGCAGAUGUUCUUAGUGUCAGGACUUAGUCGCGAGGCCAACGCAUCUAUGUGGUAGCUUGAGAGGGGUUGAGCGGAAUCGAGAGACGCAACACAAGACAGGGAUUUAGACAGCUUCGGGCCCCGGGAAACAUCAUCCGGUAACAACCCUACAUGCUGUUUGAGGCUAGAUCUCAUUAUCAUCACGAGGGAGUCGCCGUAAACCGGCUCUCCUCUUUGUGUCUAGCCCUAGAGAUCAUGGCUUCUUGCUUGUAGCUUCUAACUCGUCCAUCUUUGGGGAGCCCUGCCCCUCCUUAUAUAUGUUGAAGGGGCGGUUUACUUGACUAGUCCUAGUUGGAUUAGGAUUACUCUAUUACAAGUGGAGUCCUAGUCUUGCUUCCUUUGUAGGAGAAUAGUCCUUAUGCUUUCCUCAUAAACCGGCCCACCAUUAAACGUGAACCGGCCUUCUGGGCCUUGGGCCUCGUCAUCCAUCUAACCCGCCCACCGGGUUACUAAUGAACCGCCAAGACCGGGCGGGUAUCCCGUGAACCGCCAAGCUCCGGGCGGGUUACCAGUGAGUCGUCCAGUCCGGCCGGGUUAAACUUCCGGCCGGUUUACACCGCGGGGUAUAUCCCUGACAACGAUCAUCGUCACAUGUUGGGGUGCGCCCCCGCGAUUCGUAGAUCGAUCUUGGUUGUCCUGCCUUGUUCUCCAGUAUGUCUCGCAGGUCCUGCCUAUUGCCUCGGGCCUUAGUGUAUUGGCAUGGGGGUGCGGGCUGGUAUUCGGGCUGAUAAGCCGUUUUAUCCCGGCCAAGAGGUGGCCGAUCGGCCUCUUCCUGUGCUGGUAGAUAGGCUCCUCCUCGAGUUGAGGUAGCAACUUGUGCUUUGGGUAACCUUUGAUGUGGCGCUCGAGUCCAUAUUCCUCGGCUGCCAGGACUUCGGUCCAUCUGUCUGUGAGCAGAUCUUGAUCAGCUUGGAGCUGCUGCUGCUUCUUUUUGAGGCUCCUCGCAGUGGCCAUAAGCCGGCGCUUGAAGCGCUCCUGCUCUACGGGGUCCUCAGGCACGCCGAAUUCACCGUCGCCGAGGCUAAUCUCGUCUUCGGAGGGGGGGGGGCAUGUAGUUGUUCUCCUCCGGGCAUCCGUCCGUCGCCUGUUCGUCUGGGCUGACCUGCCCGUCUUCCUGUUUGGCCUGCUCGAAGGCAGGCUGAUCGGGGUUGUAUACAUCUUCGGCACCAUCCGUAUUAUUUUCGUCUCCUGUGUCGGUAUUGCUGUGGCGGGGCUUGGAGCGGCGCCGAUGACGCCCAUGCUUUGCUUUCUUCCUUGAGGGGUUAUCCUCCAUUUCCUCGUCGCCAUUGGUUUCUUUCGGAGUGUCCACCAUAUAUGUAUCAUACGAGGAGGUGGCUGUCCAGCGCCCCGUGGGCGGUGGUUCCUGUUCUUCUCCUACAUCGUCGUCCACACCGUCGAUGUCUUCAGAGUCGAAGUCAAGCAUGUCGGUCAAAUCAUCGACAGUGGUAAUGAAGUGGGUGGUGGGUGGGCAAUGAAUUCCCUCGUCGCCUGCUUCCCACUCGAGCCGGACAUAGUUCGGCCAAGAGUCUCCUAACAAAGAGAGAGACUUUAAUGAGUUCAGCAUGUCGCCAAAGGGCGAGUACUGGAAGAUGUCCGCAGCGGUGAACUCCAUUACCGGAGCCCAACCAGAUUCGGCGGGCUCGGGGGCGCGCGGUCUGGAACCUACAGCCGGACACGAGUCCGGGGGUCCGGUGACACAGGCUUCCUUGGUGGUGGAGUCCGUGUUCGGCCUUACCGCCGAUGAGUGUGCGGCCUUGAUGUCUACUACACAACCUUCUUCUUGUAGACGUUGUUGGGCCUGCAAGUGCACAGGUUUGUAGGACAGUAGCAAAUUUCCCUCAAGUCGAUGACCUAAGGUUUAUCAAUCCGUGGGAGGUGUAGGAUGAAGAUGGUCUCUCUCAAGAAACCCUGCAACCAAAUAACAAAGAGUCUCUUGUGUCCCCAACACACCCAAUACAAUGGUAAAUUGUAUAGGUGCACUAGUUCGGUGAAGAGAUGGUGAUACAAGUGCAAUAUGGAUAGUAGAUAUAGGUUUUUGUAAUCUGAAAUAAUAAAAACAGCAAGGUAACUAAAGGUAAAAGUGAGCGUAAACGGUAUUGCAAUGAUAGGAAACAAGGCCUAGGGUUCAUACUUUCACUAGUGCAAGUUCUCUCAACAAUAAUAACAUUGAUAGAUCAUAUAACAAGCCCUCAACAUGCAACAAAGAGUCACUCCAAAGCCACUAAUAGCGGAGAACAAACGUAGAGAUUAUGGUAGGGUACGAAACCACCUCAAAGUUAUUCUUUCGGAUCGAUUUAUAAAAGAGUUCAUACUAGAAUAACACCUUAAGACACAAAUCAACCAAAACCCUAAUGUCACCUAGAUACUCCAUUGUCACUUCAAGUAUCCAUGGGCAUGAUUAUACGAUAUGCAUCACAGAAUCUCAGAUUCAUCCAACCAACACAAAGUACUUCAAAGAGUGCCCCAAAGUUUCUACCGGAGAGUCAAGAACGUGUGCCAACCCCUAUGCAUAGGUUCAUGAGCAGAACCCGCAAGUUGGUCACCAAAACAUACAUCAAGAGGCACGUGAUAUCCCAUUGUCACGACAGACAAACACGACAAGACAUACAUCAAGUGUUCUCAUAAAAGACUCAAUCCGAUAAGAUAACUUCCAAGGGGAAACUCAAUUCAUCACAAGAGAGUAGAGGGGGAGAAACAUCAUAAGAUCCAACUACAAUAGCAAAGCUCGGGAUACAUCAAGAUCGUGCCAUAGAGGGAACACGAGAGAGAACACGAGAGAGAGAGAUCAAACACAUAGCUACUGGUACAUACCCUCAGCCCCGAGGGUGAACUACUCCCUCCUCGUCAUGGAGAGCGCUGGGAUGAUGAAGAUGGCCAUCGGUGAUGGAUUCCCCCUCCAGCAGGGUGCCGGAA
RNAcentral lists this long non-coding RNA (31817 nucleotides) under Triticum aestivum (bread wheat). RNAcentral describes it as "long non-coding RNA (TAES_LNC022035)". The stretch from base 5246 to 5370 matches the Rfam family "MIR1120/MIR1122 microRNA precursor family". The record is from RNAcentral. Lineage: Eukaryota; Viridiplantae; Streptophyta; Magnoliopsida; Poales; Poaceae.